AUUGAACGCUGGCGGCAGGCCUAACACAUGCAAGUCGAACGAGUGGCGGACGGGUGAGUAAUGUCUGUGAAACUGCCCGCUGGAGGGGGAUAACUACUGGACCCGGUAGCUAAUACCGCAUACCAUCGGAUGUGCCCCGAGGGGAUUAGCUAGUAGGUGGGGUAAUGGCUCACCUAGGCGACGAUCCCUAGCUGGUCUGAGAGGCUGACCAGCCACACGGGAACGGAGACAAGGUCCAGACUCCUACGGGAGGCAGCAGUGGGGAAUAGUGCACAAUGGGCGCAAGCCUGAUGCAGCCAUGCCGCGUGUAUGAAGAAGGCCUUCGGGUUGUAAAGUAAUUUCAGCGAGGAGGCGUUACUCGCAGAAGAAGCACCGGCUAACUCCGUGCCAGCAGCCGCGGUAAUAC
This 406-nucleotide ribosomal RNA is filed under the name uncultured bacterium. Its description in RNAcentral is "partial 16S ribosomal RNA". It matches the Rfam family "Bacterial small subunit ribosomal RNA", at positions 30 to 526 of the family's 1533-position model. The record is from RNAcentral.